This 468-nucleotide ribosomal RNA is filed under the name uncultured bacterium. Its description in RNAcentral is "partial 16S ribosomal RNA". It matches the Rfam family "Bacterial small subunit ribosomal RNA", at positions 28 to 507 of the family's 1533-position model. The record is from RNAcentral.
GACGAACGCUGGCGGCGUGCUUAACACAUGCAAGUCGAACGGAAAGGCCCUGCUUUUGUGGGGUGCUCGAGUGGCGAACGGGUGAGUAACACGUGAGUAACCUGCCCUUGACUUUGGGAUAACUUCAGGAAACUGGGGCUAAUACCGGAUAGGAGCUCCUGCUGCAUGGUGGGGGUUGGAAAGUUUCGGCGGUUGGGGAUGGACUCGCGGCUUAUCAGCUUGUUGGUGGGGUAGUGGCUUGCCAAGGCUUUGACGGGUAGCCGGCCUGAGAGGGUGACCGGCCACAUUGGGACUGAGAUACGGCCCAGACUCCUACGGGAGGCAGCAGUGGGGAAUAUUGCACAAUGGGCGGAAGCCUGAUGCAGCAACGCCGCGUGCGGGAUGACGGCCUUCGGGUUGUAAACCGCUUUCGCCUGUGACGAAGCGUGAGUGACGGUAAUGGGUAAAGGAGCACCGGCUAACUACGUG